UAUAUUCACCAAUCAUCAUUUUUCAUUAUUAAUUGGCCGUAUACAAAAUAAUUAGAAAUAAAAAAUUUACAAG
RNAcentral lists this small RNA (73 nucleotides) under Arabidopsis thaliana (thale cress). Its description in RNAcentral is "ATSL218260". The record is from RNAcentral. Lineage: Eukaryota; Viridiplantae; Streptophyta; Magnoliopsida; Brassicales; Brassicaceae.